Long non-coding RNA from Bombus impatiens (common eastern bumble bee), 1115 nucleotides. RefSeq lists it as uncharacterized. NCBI's taxonomy places the organism in Eukaryota, Metazoa, Arthropoda, Insecta, Hymenoptera, Apidae. The transcript is spliced from 2 exons. The record is from RefSeq and is a predicted model, not a curated record.
UUUCCAACCGACUUGAAAUAUUUUUUAUUCCUACGUCUUUCGGUGUCUGUUCUCACCAUUCUGCCGCUAUCCUGUCAAAAGAAUGCUUUCUAUCGAUAAAUAGCCGAGAACCGAUUUAUCCUUUUUCUCUAUCUUGUCAAAAAUAAAUCCUCUUUACUCGCUAAUUGUCCAAUUUGCUUACUCGAACAAAGGCUUCUAACGACAUUCUUUAAACUCUGUAUUUUGUCCAAAUAAUAAGAUAACAAGAUUUCGAGGAGCACAGGGAAAUUCCGCAUUUAUCAAAGGUUCUGCUGCAUAUUGCAAAAAGGGGAGAAAAGAAAAAACGGAGAAGAAAGGAAAUUUGAUUCACCCUCCUCCACGACAUUAAUAGGAGUGUCACGUACAGACCCUAUCUAUAAUCUGGUCGCGCUAAUUUCAGAGAAUAUCGAGAACGACGGAUUUUUUAAGAGUUUACCAAUGACCACGAUGCCUCCAUCCCGAAACUUCCACUUUUCCAACUAAAAUUCAUUUCACCUUUAUCUUUCUACCAUUGCGACAGACAUGCGUCACAGAAGAAGAAGUGGCCGGUCAUAUAUGACCAACGUGGCAGUCAAAGUGUUAACAUGAACUAUUUUAACACUUUAACCUCCUUGGUGCCGGCUCUGUUUCGGCUGAGACUCUCCAAUACCAUUCUUUUCGUUCAUCGCGAAUGGUAAGUUUUUCAAAUUGGUAUAAAACUGUGGGAACUUACGAAGCAAGGCAACUGACGCAACUGAGCAAGGUACCUUAUACUAAAUAACAAAUUACUGCUCAAAUAAUGAGAAAGAUUGUUGGCGAGAAAAAGCUGAUUAAUAGGUUAUCGGUCGGUAAAGUGUUAAUUGUUGACUCGAGUUAACUCGAGUUUUCAUGGCCAAACGUUGCCGACCGGCCACUGUUGGGGAUCAUACAGUGCAAUUGUUGGUCGGCAUACCUCGAGCUGUGUCUCUCGCUUAUAAGACCCGUCAAAUUGCGUCCUUUGUUGUAAACAAAAUUUCCACGUACCAAUGAAGAAUCUUUCAAUGAAUUAUACGCAGAUGUUUUAUCUGAUUGUCCGAGUGAUUGUGAAUCAAAUUGUGGUGACUUGGAAAAUGAUACUG